AAAAUUAAUUUGAAUAAAUAAACGAAAUAAAAAUAUCGUUAUCAUGCAUGAGUUUGAGAUAAAUGUUAAGAAAUUGACAAUUUGAAUAAAGAAAAUAAGAAAAAAGAGACUCAAUCAUGCAUGAGCUUUGCUUGGAGCUACUUGAAAGACCUUGCACCUAAGCUACUCUAGCUCUCUAUAAAUUCUAACUCUUCUUCACCGAAUGCAACGCGCAUCAAACAGAUAUAUAGCUUUGAAAACAACAAAAUGAAGAUUUCAUUAGCAACAACACUCUCUUUCCUUAUCCUUGCCUUGGCCUCAAACUCUUUGUUGGUCUUGGGCACCUCAUCAGUUCCUGAACCUCUCCUUGAUGUCCACGGAAACAAGGUCGAAUCCACCCUUAAGUACUACAUAGUCUCAGCCAUCUGGGGAGCUGGCGGUGGUGGAGUUAGCCUACACGGUGGCAGAAACGGAUAUUGUCCGCUGGACGUUAUCCAGUUACCUUCUGAUAUGCAAAAUGGAAUCGAAUUAACACUGUCACCGUAUAACAAUUCUACAAUUGUCCGAGAAUCCACUGAUCUCAACUUGAGAUUCUCAGUGUUGCUAUCUGGACGUGACUAUUGUAACGAACAACCGUUGUGGAAAGUUGAUAAUUAUGACGCGGCAUCAGGCAAAUGGUUUAUAACAACCGGGGGACUUGAUGGUCACCCUGGAGCUGAAACUUUGCUAAAUUGGUUUAAGCUUGAGAAAAUUGGAAAUUUUCCAGGUAUAUACAAAAUCGUUCAUUGUCCAUCCGUUUGCGAGUCUUGUGUCAAACUCUGCAACAACGUUGGCCGUUCGUUUGAGGAUGGCGUUCGACGUCUGGUUCUGGUUCGUGAUGAUGAGCCGGCAUUUCCUGUUGUGUUAAUUCCCGCUACAGAAAGAUCAACGUCUGUGUAAUCAAUGUACCCUAACCAGCUAGCGGUAUUAUUAUUCUAAAUAACGGACCAGGCUAGCUGCUCUUUAAUCUCUAGGAUUAAAAUUAUGAAUAAGUACCCUGUGAUCCUUUCGGGGUUAAUAAAUUCUACUGUUGGUGUAUACCUUAUGAAAAUCGAAAUCAAGUGUUCUUUGUUUUGAUUCACUGCUUCUUUUUUCUUUUCUUCUUUUUGGAAUUCUGUUUCUUGCCAUUAAUGGUGAUCAUUAAUUAGAGGUUAAAGCCACGUCUUGAUACUGAUCAUCGCAAGCUUGAAUAAGAGUGGAAAAUGCAAAAAGUCAGGUGAUUGAUUAUUUUGCCGACUAAUGUUUUAAUGGAUAAGCACCGACAAACUCUGUGGCAAAGAUUAAAUCACGAGUUUCUUAUUGUUACAUAUGCGUGUGUGUACAGUGGCGAAGCUCGCAUAUUUUUUUGGGUGGACUAUACUUUUUAAAAAAAUGAAAUUUAUUUCUUAAAAAAUUUGUUUUAUACAAACGAAAUUAAGCACACUACAUAACCAAAAAUCUAACCAUAAAACUACAAAAAAUAUAAUGUAAAUAAGAAAAAAAUUAUCAAAUAUUAAAUUUGUUUGUUUUUAUUUUUUAUAAAUAUUAAAAAAAUAAAUUUAUAAAUUAUAAUUUUUUUAAAAAAAAGCUAACCCGGGCCGCACCUUUAGCUUCGCCCCUGUGUGUGUAUGUAUGUAUGUAUGCAUUUUAUGUUAAUAAAUUUAUCUUGUUUCUUGAGGUUUACUUUAAAAAAAAACUGCGCACAAAAGUAUUAAUAAUUUGAAAGGGCGCGAUUCCUCAAAUUAUGAGGGAAAACAAAUUAUUAAUUAGCACAAAAAUAAAAAAUUGUGUGUGUGUGUGUGUGUGUGUACGCAUAUGUACAAGCGUUUACACGGCUAAGCUUUCAACUUCAAUUUAUUUUGAAUUUUUUGCUUUAUAGUUUCUUCAAUCUUCAAUUUAAUCUCAGUUAUUGAUUAAGAAAAAUUGAUCAUCAAUGAAUAUAAAAAUUAUUUCACUCAGCUUUUACCAAUCAACCAUUGUUUUUAAAAUUAUUAAGAAGAUAAAAAAAAAUUCAUCAAUCCACCUUUUUUUUUUCCUUAUUUUUGGAAUAAAAUGGAAUAAGUUGAGGAUUACAAUUGUUUGAGACAUAUUUUAAAGAUCAUCAUUGUAUGAAGAGGGUAAUCCACAAUUUACCCCUCAAACAAUUGCUGAAAUUUAGCAUUUGAUCUCAUAAAUGAAUAAAAGUAAAAUUUACCUUACUCAUGUCAUUGCUUAAGAGAUUUAAAAUAACUUCAAUUUUUUUUUUUUUUUUGACUUAGUGCUCUCACCUUCAUAUUUAUGUGCAUAUUUAAGAUUUCCUUGGAUGAAAAGCAAUGCUUCUUGUGGCUAUAAUAUUUUGGGAUGGAAGAGCGUAAAAUAAGGAUAGAUAACUUUCUCUUUAAUUCCUAGGGUCUAUGCUAGUUUUAGUCUUUGUAUUUUCAAAAAAUCAUCCAAAACUUCUUGGUUGUUAGUCUCUCAUAGUUGGAUUUACUUUAAUUAGAUAAAAUGGUAGUUUUGUUAUAAUAAAACUUAAAAUUCAAAUAAAUUUUACGUGAUACAUUUUGAAACAUAUAGAAAUAAUAAGCGUAAUUUAACAACCUAAGGGUACUUGACAUUCUAUUUGGGUAACCACUCGAAUUCGAGUCUUGGGGAGGUAAGAACUAGUGCAUAUCAUGUAGUAAUCUUUAUUUUUACCAUAUGUUAUAUUAUAAUAGCCAAAAUUGAAUAGGAUAGUUUUACAAUGUGAAGGGGGAGAGUGAGAGAAAGAAAUGUUAGGACAAUAAUAUCUUGGUGAAAACUAUCACUUACAAUUUAGGAACAUUCAUGUUGUAUUGCCAAGAAUCAAUAAUAAAAAUAUGCGAAAGCAUAUCUGAAUCAAUAAUGCAUGAUUAUUCUGUAAAGUCAUAGUUAGCCUUCCAAAUCAAAACUUUCUUCUAGAGAAUCCUUUAAUUUUCUUUGUACACUCUUUUUGAUGAUAGGAUGUUGUUGUGCAAAUUUUAUUGAACUCGCAAGCGCACAAAUCUAUUGUAGAAUAGACUAAUGGUGACGAGUGUCGAUCUUACGAGGAGAUGGAUUUUAAUUGUGUAUAAAAUUAAUUUUGUAAAUGGGUGGUUGGAUCUCUGGUGAAAUUGAUUUAGAAUAUUCUAAAACAAAAAAAUAUUUUCAUACUUUUAAAUUUUUAUUAUGAUUUAGUAAAAUAUUUUCGUAUUAGAAAAAAAUUCUAAUUUCUUAUAGAGGUCAUGACUCUUAUUACAUGAUAAGGUAGUGUCAUCUCACUCGCACAUAAAUGCCGCUCUAAUAUUACAUUGAAGCUCAUGAAUUUAAUUUAUAAUAAAACACCAACUCAAUAAUUACGAGUCAUUUUAAGCUAAUAAUAUUAGCUUACAAAUAUUCUUAGCCAAUGUGUGAUUUUUUCCUUUGCGUAGGACGCGCCAAACCUGGCAAGUGGCAGGUCAUUAUUGAACGGAGAAGGAGAAAGGGACUCUUGAACUUAGAAAAUGGCAAGUCCUCUAUUGUUAGGCCCACCACCUGUUCAUGCCCCCACAAAAUUCUUUUACCUACUGACGACUAUUAGUGCGGAAACAAAUCAUUUUUAUGUAAGUGGCUAGUUAUUUUUCAUUACCAGCUUUAAUUAAUGUCAAAAACGUCAAAACGUCAGAUGAUAUAUUGCCGAUUGGAUAAGUAACCACCAACUCUGUGGCGAAGAUUAAGUCACGAGUUACUUAUUUUUAUUAUCUCUGUUUGUCAAUUUUUUUUUUUAUUUUGUACAUAUUUCCUCGGUUAUCUUUUUUGCAUAUUCUGUGUAUUUACAAAUUGUGAUGUCUAUGGUUUUGUUAUUUCGCACGUUCAAUUGCUGAUGCAUACAUAUAUUCGAGUGUGGACCAUCAUACAAACUAAUAAUUCUCUGAAGUCGCUCUCAUCCAAAUGAAUUGGAGUAUCAGAUACAAAUAAUUGUAAUAAGAUACACAUGAUGAAUACUUUGUAUAAGAUACAAUAAUUUGAUAGUUGAAUUUACACUCUGAGUUGAGUUGUGCUCAUUUUCUCAUAAUUUUUGUGUUUUGUACAUAUUUAUAAUUUGUACCUUUAAGUUUUAAUUACUUUUAUGGUACAUUUAUUAAUUGUUAAUCAGAGUAGAUUUGAAUAAAAAUGAAUUAGAAUAGGAAUGAUAAUUAAGAAUAAAAAUAAAUUAUUUACUUCAGUUAUAGGAAUCAGAAAUGAAAUAAGUAUAUUCUCAUUUAUGUGUUUAACUUAUUAAAAUACCCUUAGUUUAUCAUUGUCAUUAUUUUUAUUAUUUAUUAUAAUAAUUUUCAUUAUUAUUAUUAAAAAUUAUUGCUAAUAAUAAUAACCAUAAUAAUUAUAAUAAUCAUAACAAUAAUAUAUAUUUUUAUCCAAUAAUUAUCAAUUAAAUCUUUUUUAAAAAAUGGGCAAAAUAUUCCGAACUAUAAUCAAAUCUCUUAAAUCUGGCAUUAUUGCCUUUUCGUAAGAAGCCACGGUUCUUUCAAUAUCGACGUACGAAUUUUCAUCUUGUCAAUAUAUUACAGCAUGAUUAUUGUCGUGAAUUAUUAUUUAUUGUACCAUGGCUUUUGCCUUAUAAGUAAGAAUCGUCAUCUUAUGCGACUUUUGAAUAAAUUGUUGUGUGAAUAAAACAAAACAAAAAAGAUAAAUAACUGUUAGCCAUUUCUGGAUUAUAAUUAUCUUCGCAUGUCAAUGUACUACCUAGUUCAAUAUGCGAGGUGAAUUUCAUCCCAUUGUAAUUGCAUAUUCUAGAGGCAGUUGGGUUUAAAAUAUUACGGUUCCACGUCCAUGUAAUUCAAAACUUUGCAGUGGGCCACUUUAUGAAAGAUUAAAAAAGAAAAAGAAAUAAAAGAAAGGAUUUUUCCAAUUUACUUCUUAUAAGAGAUUUGGACGUGUACAAAAAUUUGUUUCUUAUUAAUCGAUCAGAUAUGAUUCUUACCAUAUUUGCAUCGCAAGUAAUUCAAUAUUGCAAUUAACGGAUAAUGAGUAGGAUUUCUUAUUGGAUACUUACCAUCCCCGCCCAGGAUGACAGAAAUUUCAAAACCUUGAUCAAGAUUUGUGAUCCCAUGGCGAUAGUAUUUGGCCCAUAAUUUUGAGUAUUGAAUGUAGGGAAGUUGGAAUUCAAUAUCGAAAUUUAUCUAUUUGAUAAUCAGGAUGACAAAUCCAAGGAUAUUUAAUCAAAUGUUUUUCAAGCAAUUUUAUUUGAUUGAUCACUUGAGUUCAAGUUUUAAAGAAGCAAGAAUUAAAUUAAAAAAUUGAUUGGUACUUUGUCCACCUUUUGCUUUUUUAUUAAAUAAUUUUUUAUGAAAUUUCAGACACUGGAAAAAUCCUAAUCAUGAUCGCAUUUCAACAGAUAACUUUUCCAAUUUUUAGUUAUACGUUAGUUUCUAUUCAAUUUGAUAUUUGUCAAUUAGAUAUUUGGGAAAACAAUUGCACUGGAGAAUGAAUCAUUUUAUUUUGUAUAUAUUUGGGUGUUAAAUGUUUACAUUGGUUAUAAUUUUCGAAAAAUAAAUGUGACUAGAUUAACAAGUGUUUCACAAAAUAUUUCGGAACACAUUUUCUUAAGAAAAAAAAUUUAAGUUCUCAAAAUUAUUAUUCGCUUUAGUUGUUUGCCUUAUGAAACAAUUUUUUUUCCCCUAAAGGCAGACACGAUUAAUUACUUGAUUUUUUUCAAUAUAUUACAUUAGAUAGUAUAAUAAAAAUACUAAUAAAUAGAUACACUACAAAUUGUUUAAUGAAUUCGAACCAACUAUUUUUAUAAUAAAAAUACGAAAAUGGUUUGAAAGAAGUCAAACCAAACAAAACCUAGUUUUAGAACCAAACUAAACCGAAAUAUUUCAUUUCGGUUUGGUUUGGUUCAUAAAUUCGAUAGGUUGCUAUGUUUUAUGGCUCGUCUUCAGAUAGAAGGUUGAAUCACACAGGAAUGCAAGUUCGACACCAAAAAUUAAUUUGAAUAAAUAAACGAAAUAAAAAUAUCGUUAUCAUGCAUGAGUUUGGGAUAAAUGUUAAGAAAUUGACAAUUUGAAUAAAGAAAAUAAGAAAAAAGAGACUCAAUCAAGCAUGAGCUUUGCUUGGAGCUACUUGAAAGACCUUGCACCUAAGCUACUCUAGCUCUCUAUAAAUUCUAACUCUUCUUCACCGAAUGCAACGCGCAUCAAACAGAUAUAUAGCUUUGAAAACAACAAAAUGAAGAUUUCAUUAGCAACAACACUCUCUUUCCUUAUCCUUGCCUUGGCCUCAAACUCUUUGUUGGUCUUGGGCACCUCAUCAGUUCCUGAACCUCUCCUUGAUGUCAACGGCAACAAGGUCCAAUCCACCCUUAAGUACUACAUAGUCUCAGCCAUCUGGGGAGCUGGCGGUGGUGGAGUUAGCCUACACGGUGGCAGAAACGGAUAUUGUCCGCUGGACGUUAUCCAAUUACCUUCUGAUAUGCAAAAUGGAAUCGAAUUAACACUGUCACCGUAUAACAAUUCUACAAUUGUCCGAGAAUCCACUGAUCUCAACUUGAGAUUCUCAGUGUUGCUAUCUGGACGUGACUAUUGUAACGAACAACCGUUGUGGAAAGUUGAUAAUUAUGACGCUGCAUCAGGCAAAUGGUUUAUAACAACCGGGGGACUUGAUGGUCAUCCUGGANNNNNNNNNNNNNNNNNNNNNNNNNNNNNNNNNNNNNNNNNNNNNNNNNNNNNNNNNNNNNNNNNNNNNNNNNNNNNNNNNNNNNNNNNNNNNNNNNNNNACGUCUGUGUAAUCAAUGUACCCUAACCAGCUAGCGGUAUUAUUAUUCUAAAUAACGGACCAGGCUAGCUGCUCUUUAAUCUCUAGGAUUAAAAUUAUGAAUAAGUACCCUGUGAUCCUUUCGGGGUUAAUAAAUUCUACUGUUGGUGUAUACCUUAUGAAAAUCGAAAUCAAGUGUUCUUUGUUUUGAUUCACUGCUUCUUUUUUCUUUUCUUCUUUUUGGAAUUCUGUUUCUUGCCAUUAAUGGUGAUCAUUAAUUAGAGGUUAAAGCUACGUCUUGAUACUGAUCAUCGCAAGCUUGAAUAAGAGUGGAAAAUGCAAAAAGUCAGGUGAUUGAUUAUUUUGCCGACUAAUAUUUUAAUGGAUAAGCACCGACAAACUCUGUGGCAAAGAUUAAAUCACGAGUUUCUUAUUGUUACAUAUGCGUGUGUGUACAGUGGCGAAGCUCGCAUAUUUUUUUGGGUGGACUAUAUUUUUUAAAAAAAUGAAAUUUAUUUCUUAAAAAAUUUGUUUUAUACAAACGAAAUUAAGCACACUACAUAACCAAAAAUCUAACCAUAAAACUACAAAAAAUAUAAUGUAAAUAAGAAAAAAAUUAUCAAAUAUUAAAUUUAUUUGUUUUUAUUUUUUAUAAAUAUUAAUAAAAUAAAUUUAUAAAUUAUAAUUUUUUUAAAAAAAAAACAAACCCGGGCUGCACCUUUAGCUUCGCCCCUGUGUGUGUAUGUAUGUAUGUAUGCAUUUUAUGUUAAUAAAUUUAUCUUGUUUCUUGAGGUUUACUUUAAAAAAAAACUGCGCACAAAAGUAUUAAUAAUUUGAAAGGGCGCGAUUCCUCAAAUUAUGAGGGAAAACAAAUUAUUAAUUAGCACAAAAAUAAAAAAAAACGCAUAUGUACAAGCGUUUACACGGCUAAGCUUUCAACUUCAAUUUAUUUUGAAUUUUUUGCUUUAUAGUUUCUUCAAUCUUCAAUUUAAUCUCAAUUAUUGAUUAAGAAAAAUUGAUCAUCAAUGAAUAUAAAAAUUAUUUCACUCAACUUUUACCAAUCAACCAUUGUUUUUAAAAUUAUUAAGAAGAUAAAAAAAAAAUUCAUCAAUCCACCUUUUUUUUCCUUAUUUUUGGAAUAAAAUGGAAUAAGUUGAGGAUUACAAUUGUUUGAGAUAUAUUUUAAAGAUCAUCAGUGUAUGAAGAGGGUAAUCCACAAUUUACCCCUCAAACAAUUGCUGAAAUUUAGCAUUUGAUCUCAUAAAUGAAUAAAAGUAAAAUUUACCUUGUUCAUGUCAUUGCUUAAGAGAUUUAAAAUAACUUCAAUUUUUAUUUUUUUUUUGACUUAGUGCUCUCACCCUCAUAUUUAUGUGCAUAUUUAAGAUUUCCUUGGAUGAAAAGCAAUGCUUCUUGUGGCUAUAAUAGUUUGGGAUGGAAGGGCGUAAAAUAAGGAUAGAUAACUUUCUCUUUAAUUCCUAGGGUCUAUGCUAGUUUUAGUCUUUGUAUUUUCAAAAAAUCAUCCAAAACUUCUUGGUUGUUAGUCUCUCAUAGUUGGAUUUACUUUAAUUAGAUAAAAUGGUAGUUUUGUUAUAAUAAAACUUAAAAUUCAAAUAAAUUUUACGUGAUACAUUUUGAAACAUAUAGAAAUAAUAAGCGUAAUUUAACAGCCUAAGGGUACUUGACAUUCUAUUUGGGUAACCACUCGAAUUCGAGUCUUGGGGAGGUAAGAACUAGUGCAUAUCAUGUAGUAAUCUCUAUUUUUACCAUAUGUUAUAUUAUAAUAGCCAAAAUUGAAUAGGAUAGUUUUACAAUGUGAAGGGGGAGAGUGAGAGAAAGAAAUGUGAUGACAAUAAUAUCUUGGUGAAAACUAUCACUUACAAUUUAGGAACAUUCAUGUUGUAUUGCCAAGAAUCAAUGAUAAAAAUAUGCGAAAGCAUAUUUGAAUCAAUAAUGCAUGAUUAUUUUGUAAAGUCAUAGUUAGCCUUCCAAAUCAAAACUUUCUUCUAGAGAAUCCUUUAAUUUUCUUUGUACACUCUUUUUUAUGAUAGGAUGUUGUUGUGCAAAUUUUAUUGAACUCGCAAGUGCACGAAUUUAUUGUAGAAUAGACUAAUGGUGACGAGUGUCGACAAUGAAAAUUAUUUAUUUUAAUCAUAAAAAUUUAAAUUAUUAAUUGAAUAUAAGUAAUAAUAAAAUAUAAAUGAAUCUUAUGUUAUUAAUUUAAUAUAAAAUAUUAAAAUAAUAUUAUUAUUUUUUAUAUAAUACAAUCCACUAUACACCAAACAUAAUAUUGCAGUAUAGUUUAAUACAUUAUAAUACAAUGCAACCUAAUACAACAUAACUAAUGCAGUACAAUACAAUACAUUACCGCGCGCUGAACGUAAAGUAACAUCAAAUAAUCCUAUGCAAAUGGAAAUAAAAUCUUAAUUAUUAAUUUGAAAUCUUCUGUACAGCUUCCUAGAAAUUUCUAAUCAUUUAUGAGAUUGUCAUAAAUUUUUCAUAUGGUAAGCCUUAAAUGUACCUGAUUUAUACACAAAAUUUGAUAAGUAAACUUCUUACAAAAUAUAGUAUUUUUCCUUGUUAUUAAUAGUUCAAUUGGCGGAGUAUAAUUAUCAAUUAGUGGACGACAACGGGUGAACCGCUAUGGUUCAAUUGGCAAAUUUCGUGAAAGUAUGCAUGGGUCGUUGGGGCAAAUCACAAAAUAAGUACCGUAAAAGAGCUGAUAAUUCAUAUGAAUAAAUACUCUUUUAGUUCUUACUUUUUUUUUAAAGUUGUUUAAAGUUUCAGUUUAGUCCUUAUUUAAAAAAAAAGUAUCUUAAGACAUCUCUAUUAUUAAAUAUGUUCCAUUCCUACCCUUACUUAUUCUUUUCUUUACAAUAAUACCCUUGCAUAAUAUUUUGGGAUAUUUGAUAGAAAAAUUAUAAUUUAUCAAAUUACCUUAAAAGUAACAUAAAAAUUUACCAAACUUUUAUAUUAUUAUCUUACUUUCAGGAUUAAUUUUGUAAAUUAAUUUUUUAUGAAAUAAUUAUUAAUAAGAUUGUUUUAAGCAUAAUAAAUACUACUUAAAUUGGCUGAUAUUAAUUUAUUUUUAAAUAAUUAUUAGCAAAUUUAUUGCAUGAGUACAAAAAAUAAUAAUUCUUUGAUACUAAUAUUUAUUAGUUAAUUUGCCAACAAACAGUCAUUGGUUGAUUUACUAAAAUUAAUUUUUUUAAAGAUAAAUUAGUUAAUGUAAAGAGUAAUAUUGAAAGGAUACAAUUUUAAAAAUAAAGUAAAAAUUAGUGUAAAAAUGUAAUAUAUCUAACUGUAAGGGUGUUUUAAGGUACUUUUAAAAUAUAGGGACUAGAUAGAUAUUUAAGUCAAAAUUAUGGAGACCAUAUUAACAUUUACCCAUUUGUAUAAUAUCCAUUUACUUACUCAAUACAUAAUUAACUAAUUACGGGGCAUAUUUUUAGUUGUUUCCUUGUUGCUUGUAGAAUGAAAUUCAACGACCAUCAGUUUAAAUUCAUAGCUCAACUACUCAAGUCCUUCACAGUCUAAAUUUGUUUGUAUUAAGUCAGUGAGUAAUGAAUUUCACCGUUAAAAACAUUGAAAACGUUGACAUAAAUAUAGAAUGAUAAUUAUACCCCCUAUAUCUCUUAUUAAUGAUUUACAGUCCAUUUUCCUCCUUUUUUCCCUUUAUUAUCACGUUAAAAAUCUUACAGUUUGGUAAACAAUAACAAUAGACUUCUUUUAGUUCACAAAAACAUGAUAAAAAGCUUCUGAAAUCUGCACCACAAAAAUUAAAAGUUGCUUUUACUUUUUAUUUCGAGAAAAAAUCAAUUCACGUCAUAUGCGAAAGAAACAUGGCUACGAGAUAUUGGCUUGGGCUUGUGUACACCAAGGGGACAAUGAAUGACGCAAGUCACGACGGAUGGCUGUAGUUUUGUCUUCCCGCCAAUCGCGAUUGUACAUCAGUCCAUUUAAAACAAUAGUUGCACCAUAGUUUUGCCCAUCAACUUGGCAUAGGUUUUGCAUUAUUUAUUGUGUAGGGACGAUAUAGAUGUGCAAGACUAUUUCUAGCUUAAAAUCAACGUGCAGGGGAGAUAAAAUAGGUAUACAAUCGGUGGGUGAAGCGAAGAAAUAAGGAUCACAUUAAAAUGUUAAAUAUCAUUCCCAAUCAACAUUAAAUUUAUGGUUGUCAUAUUGUGAUAUUGAAGUUCAUGGACCCAAUUUAUACUCAAAUUAAAAUUAGCUCAAGAGUGGAGGGUAACAUGGUUAUUGUCAGCCAACUUGGGAUAUUUUCCUCAACAAUCCCAGUAAUGAGCAAGCUAGCAGGUGCAGAAGCUGAAAACUUUAGCUGCAGGGAUGCGUGUGUAUGGAAAACAAUUAAGAUAAAUUUUAUUGUAUUAUACAAUUUGUUGAUGUAAUGAAAGACUCUAUGCCAUUUUUAAUAAGUUUAUUCAUCAUAUGUGAAGGUAUCCAAAUCAAUAAGACUUAUAAACACACCCAAAAAAGAUAAGUUGUAAUAAAAUUAUAAUAGACAUGUAGAAAUUUAAAGGUGCAGUGCAUGAUUAGAGUACUUAUAGUAAAAAUUAGGAUAGAGAGAGCUAUAUAUAUACUCAAUUUGUUAAAAUGAAAAUAUUACUAUCAAACAAAAAAAUAUUUUCGUACUUUUACAUUUUUAUUAUGAUUUAGUAAAAUAUUUUCGUAUUAGAAAAAAUUUCUAAUUUCUUAUAGAGGUCAUGACCCAUAUUACAUGAUAAGGUAGUGUAAUCUCACUCGCACAUAAAUGCCGCUCUAAUAUUACAUUGAAGCUCAUGAAUUUAAUUUAUAAUAAAACACCAACUCAAGAAUUACGAGUCAUUUUAAGCUAAUAAUAUUAGCUUACAAAUAUUCUUAGCCAAUGUGUGAUUUUUUCCUUUGCGUAGGACGCGCCAAACCUGGCAAAUGGCAGGUCAUAAUUGAACGGAGAGGGAUAAAGGGACUCUUGAACUUAGAAAAUGGCAAGUCCUCUAUUGUUAGGCCCACCACCUGUGCAUGCCCCCACAAAAUUCUUAGUGCGGAAACAAAUCAUUUUUAUUUAAGUGGCUAGUUAUUUUUCAUUACCAGCUUUAAUUAAUGUCGAAAACGUCAAAACGUCAGAUGAUAUAUUGCCGAUUGGAUAAGUAACCACCAACUCUGUGGCGAGAUUAAGUCACGAGUUACUUAUUUUUAUUAUCUCUGUUUGUCAAUUUUUUUUGCAUAUUCUGUGUAUUUACUAGUUGUGAUGUCUAUGGUUUUGUUAUUUCGCACGUUAAAGUGCUGAUGCAUACUGCAUACAUAUAUUCGAAUGUGGACCAUUAUAAAAACUAAUAAUUCUCUGAAGUCGCUCUCAUCCAAAUGAAUUGGAGUAUCAGAUACAAAUAAUUGUAAUAAGAUACGCAUGAUGAAUACUUUGUAUAAGAUACAAUAAUUUGGUAGUUGAAUUUACACACUGAGUUGAGUUGUGAUCGAUCUUCUCAUAAUUUUUGUGUUAUGUACAUAUUUAUAAUUUGUACCUUUAAGUUUUAAUUACUUUUAUGGUACAUUUACUAAUUGAUCAUCAGAGUAUAUUUGAAUUAAAAUAGAUUAGAAUAAGAAUGAUAAAUAAGAAUAAAAAUAAGUUAUUUACUUUAAUUAUAGGAAUCAGAAAUGAAAUGAUUAUAUUCUCAUUUAUGUGUUUAUCUUAUUAAAAUACCCUUAGUUUAUCAUUGCCAUUAUUUUAUUAUUUAUUAUAAUAAUUUUCCUUAUUAUUAUUAAAAAUUAUUGCUAAUAAUAAUAACCAUAAUAAUUAUAAUAAUCAUAACAAUAAUAUAAUUUUCUCUCUCUCCUUUUGUUUUACGCUAUUUUUUCUGUCUUUUGGCAUUUUUUUGGCUUUUUCUCCUCUUCUUGUCGUUUAUUCUUAUUCUGUUUCUUCUUUGUCUCUUUUUCUUCGUUACUUCUUCUUCUUCUCAUUUUUAAAUUUCUGUUUUCAUUUUUAUUUUUCUCUUCUUUAUUUCUUCCUCUUCUCUGUCUAUUUCAACUUCAAAUGAACAAAUUAAAAACGCCGUCAGAGCUGCAUGACGACCGAGAAAGCGAUUAAGAUGGUACUGCUCGAUCACAUUGGCGACUGCUGUUCUGAUUUGUGCUGAAGCAAUUUUGAUUGCCGGAACAAAAUAAAUUAUAAGUUUCGGGUUGCCGUGACUUUUAAUUAUUUUUUGUAUUUUAUAUUUUUAAUAUUUAAAUGAAAGAUAAAGUUAAAAUAAUGAAAUUUGGAUGGGUACUUUAGGAAAUUUCGGCAAUGAAAGUCUGAUUUAAGAAUUAGAUUCCAUCCAAAUCAUAUUCUCAAUUUGAUGCGGGUCAGAUAGAAGGCUGAAUCACACAUGAAUGCAAGUUCGACACCAAAAAUUAAUUUGAAUAAAUAAACGAAAUAAAAAUAUCGUUAUCAUGCAUGAGUUUGAGAUAAAUGUUAAGAAAUUGACAAUUUGAAUAAAGAAAAUAAGAAAAAAGAGACUCAAUCAUGCAUGAGCUUUGCUUGGAGCUACUUGAAAGACCUUGCACCUAAGCUACUCUAGCUCUCUAUAAAUUCUAACUCUUCUUCACCGAAUGCAACGCGCAUCAAACAGAUAUAUAGCUUUGAAAACAACAAAAUGAAGAUUUCAUUAGCAACAACACUCUCUUUCCUUAUCCUUGCCUUGGCCGCAAACUCUUUGUUGGUCUUGGGCACCUCAUCAGUUCCUGAACCUCUCCUUGAUGUCAACGGCAACAAGGUCGAAUCCACCCUUCAGUACUACAUAGUCUCAGCCAUCUGGGGAGCUGGCGGUGGUGGAGUUAGCCUACACGGUGGCAGAAACGGAUAUUGUCCGCUGGACGUUAUCCAAUUACCUUCUGAUACGCAAAAUGGAAUCAAAUUAACACUGUCACCGUAUAACAAUUCUACAAUUGUCCGAGAAUCCACUGAUCUCAACUUGAGAUUCUCAGUGUUGCUAUCU
This 13667-nucleotide long non-coding RNA is filed under the name Citrus x clementina. RNAcentral describes it as "Citrus clementina (C. clementina) long non-coding RNA (CCLE_LNC004136)". The record is from RNAcentral. Lineage: Eukaryota; Viridiplantae; Streptophyta; Magnoliopsida; Sapindales; Rutaceae.